This 454-nucleotide ribosomal RNA is filed under the name uncultured bacterium. Its description in RNAcentral is "bacterial SSU rRNA". It matches the Rfam family "Bacterial small subunit ribosomal RNA", at positions 29 to 487 of the family's 1533-position model. The record is from RNAcentral.
AACGAACGCUGGCGGCAGGCCUAACACAUGCAAGUCGAGCGAACCCUUCGGGGUUAGCGGCGGACGGGUUAGUAACGCGUGGGAAUCUGCCUUCUAGUGGGGGAUAGCCCGGAGAAAUCCGGAUUAAUACCGCAUACGCCCUACGGGGAAGGACCGGGAGUCUUCGGACCUGGCGCUAGUAGAUGAGCCCGCGUGAGAUUAGCUUGUUGGUGGGGUAAGUGGCCUACCAAGGCAACGAUCUCUAGCUGGUCUGAGAGGACGAUCAGCCACACUGGGACUGAGACACGGCCCAGACUCCUACGGGAGGCAGCAGUGGGGAAUAUUGGACAAUGGGCGAAAGCCUGAUCCAGCAAUGCCGCGUGUGUGAAGAAGGCCUGAGGGUUGUAAAGCACUUUCAAUCGUGAAGAAAAGUUAGCAGGCUAAUACCCUGUGACCUUGACGUUAACGAUACAAG